Molecule: ribosomal RNA, 820 nt
Filed under: uncultured eukaryote
Lineage: Eukaryota
Description: SSU rRNA
Rfam family: Eukaryotic small subunit ribosomal RNA
Source: RNAcentral
CGGUGUUUAACUGGCGUGAUGUGGGACGUCCUACCGGUGGGCUUAGCCUCGCGAGGGGCGGCCCAACUAAUAUCCCGUCGCGGUGCUCUUUACUGAGUGUCGAGUCGGGCCGGUACGUUUACUUUGAACAAAUUAGAGUGCUUAAAGCAGGCUAUCCUCGCCUGAAUACUGCGUGCAUGGAAUAAUGGAAUAGGACCUCGGUUCUAUUUUGUUGGUUUUCGGAACCCCGAGGUAAUGAUUAAUAGGGACAGAUGGGGGCAUUCGUAUUGCGACGUUAGAGGUGAAAUUCUUGGAUCGUCGCAAGACGGACAGAAGCGAAAGCAUUUGCCAAAAAUGUUUUCAUUAAUCAAGAACGAAAGUUAGAGGUUCGAAGGCGAUCAGAUACCCGCCCUAGUUCUAACCAUAAAUGAUGCCAGCUAGCGAUCCGCCGAAGUUCCUCCGAUGACUCGGCGGGCAGCUUCCGGGAAACCAAAGCUUUUGGGUUCCGGGGGAAGUAUGGUUGCAAAGCUGAAACUUAAAGGAAUUGACGGAAGGGCACCACCAGGAGUGGAGCCUGCGGCUUAAUUUGACUCAACACGGGAAACCUCACCAGGCCCAGACACCGGAAGGAUUGACAGAUUGAUAGCUCUUUCUUGAUUCGGUGGGUGGUGGUGCAUGGCCGUUCUUAGUUGGUGGAGCGAUUUGUCUGGUUAAUUCCGAUAACGAACGAGACUCUAGCCUGCUAAAUAGGCGUACCUUAUGGUAUCGCGAAGGCCCCCGGCUUCGGCCGGUGGGUUUUUACUACCAACGUACAAACAAAUCUUCUUAGAGGGACAGGCGG